RNAcentral lists this ribosomal RNA (253 nucleotides) under uncultured bacterium. Its description in RNAcentral is "partial 16S ribosomal RNA". It matches the Rfam family "Bacterial small subunit ribosomal RNA", at positions 524 to 776 of the family's 1533-position model. The record is from RNAcentral.
UACGGAGGGAGGUAGCGUUAUUCGGAAUUACUGGGCGUAAAGCGCACGUAGGCGGCUUUGUAAGUUAGAGGUGAAAGCCUGGAGCUCAACUCCAGAAUUGCCUUUAAGACUGCAUCGCUUGAAUCCAGGAGAGGUGAGUGGAAUUCCGAGUGUAGAGGUGAAAUUCGUAGAUAUUCGGAAGAACACCAGUGGCGAAGGCGGCUCACUGGACUGGUAUUGACGCUGAGGUGCGAAAGCCAGGGGAGCAAACGGG